This 483-nucleotide ribosomal RNA is filed under the name uncultured bacterium. RNAcentral's name for it is "partial 16S ribosomal RNA". It matches the Rfam family "Bacterial small subunit ribosomal RNA", at positions 28 to 523 of the family's 1533-position model. The record is from RNAcentral.
GACGAACGCUGGCGGCGUGCUUAACACAUGCAAGUCGAACGAUGAAGCUGGAGCUUGCUCCGGUGGAUUAGUGGCGAACGGGUGAGUAACACGUGAGCAAUCUGCCCUUGACUCUGGGAUAACUGCGGGAAACUGUAGCUAAUACCGGAUACGAGGCUCGAAGGCAUCUUCGGGUCUGGAAAGAAUUUCGGUCAAGGAUGAGCUCGCGGCCUAUCCGCUUGUUGGUGGGGUAAUGGCUAACCAAGGCGACGACGGGUAGCCGGCCUGAGAGGGUGACCGGCCACACUGGGACGAAAACACGGCCCGGACGCCUACGGUAGGCAGCAGUGGGGAAUAUUGCACAAUGGGCGAAAGCCUGAUGCAGCAACGUAGCGUGAGAGAUGAAGGCCUUCGGGUUGUAAACCUCUUUUAGCAGGGAAGAAGCGAAAGUGACGGUACCUGCAGAAAAAGCACCGGCUAACUACGUGCCAGCCGCCGCAGUAA